This 917-nucleotide long non-coding RNA is filed under the name Rattus norvegicus (Norway rat). Its description in RNAcentral is "long non-coding RNA NONRATT009650". Lineage: Eukaryota; Metazoa; Chordata; Mammalia; Rodentia; Muridae. The record is from RNAcentral.
AGCUCCAAAGAUCUCAUUUCUCCUCAUUCUCCACAGCACUGGUGUCACGGGCACAUGCUCAACUAUCCCUAGCUUUUUAUAAAUGCUGGGAAAGCUGAGGUCCUCAUUUUUGUGCAACAAGUGUUCUCAUCUUCUCAGCUCUCUCAGCCCUGAUCUGAGUAUUUCUAAUUGUGAAAAACAAUUAAUAUUGAAGUCAACCUAAUUAUUGAAAAUUGUAUAUUUUGCCUAAUAGUUUCAGUAUACAGAAUACACAUGUGCUUUCACUUACAUUCACCAACCACUAACAUUUGCAUUUAGUGAAUGAAAAGUGAACAGCUCUCUUCAUAGGACUAUAGUUGCAAUAUUUACUACUUUCACUUAUUCAUUAAAGUUGAAUGAGCUGCUUCCCUAGUCCACAUUUAUCAAUGCACACUAGGUAGACAUUUGAAGGGCUAGACCCUGAAGCAGUAACAAUAGUUAUCUACAAAGAGUUUUGUAAGUAAUUUUUGAUUUUGCAAGAAAAACAAAUAUAGCUGUUCACUUGGGAAAAGAUGGUUACUUCUGUGGUUAUUAAUUAUGUGUAACUAACAUUUUAAAUUUUUUUUCAGAUUAAACAUCCCACUGCCCUGGGAUUAGAAGUUGGCCAGGAAAUUCAGGUCAAAUACUUUGGCCGUGAUCCAGCUGAUGGAAGAAUGAGGCUUUCCCGUAAAGUACUUCAGUCUCCAGCUACAACUGUUCUCAAAACUCUAAAUGAUAGGAGCAGCAUUGUAAUGGGAGAGCCUAUUUCACAGUCAUCAUCUAACUCUUCCCCUUGACUCCUUUUUAAAAUGGUAUUCAAUGGUGAGAUUCUGCAGAGCAAAAUUUAAUAGUCCCAUUUAUUGUGUAGAUUUAUAUAUAAUUUAAAUAUAAUUAUUUGUAUUAAAAUGCUUAUUUCAUGU